CCCGCACAAGCAGUGGAGUAUGUGGUUAAUUCGAAGCAACGCGAAGAACCUUACCAGGGCUUGACAUCCCUUGAAGCAGCUAGAGAUAGCUGUGUCCUUCGGGACAAGGAGACAGGUGGUGCAUGGUUGUCGUCAGCUCGUGUCGUGAGAUGUUGGGUUAAGUCCCGCAACGAGCGCAACCCCUGUGGUUAGUUGCCAUCAUUCAGUUGGGCACUCUAGCGAGACUGCCGGUAAUAAACCGGAGGAAGGUGGGAUGACGUCAAAUCAUCAUGCCCCUUAUGACCUGGGCUACACACGUGCUACAAUGGUUGGUACAACGAGUUGCGAGUCGGCGACGGCGAGCUAAUCUCUUAAAGCCAAUCUCAGUUCGGAUUGUAGGCUGCAACUCGCCUACAUGAAGUCGGAAUCGCUAGUAAUCGCGGAUCAGCACGCCGCGGUGAAUACGUUCCCGGGCCUU
This 457-nucleotide ribosomal RNA is filed under the name uncultured Streptococcus sp. RNAcentral describes it as "bacterial SSU rRNA". It matches the Rfam family "Bacterial small subunit ribosomal RNA", at positions 920 to 1382 of the family's 1533-position model. The record is from RNAcentral. Lineage: Bacteria; Bacillati; Bacillota; Bacilli; Lactobacillales; Streptococcaceae.